AUGCAGAGAACUUUCCAGAGAUGGAUUGGUGCCUCGGGAACUCUGACACAGGUGCUGCAUGGCUGUCGUCAGCUCGUGUCGUGAGAUGUUGGGUUAAGUCCCGCAACGAGCGCAACCUCGUCGUUAGUUGCUAACAGUUAGGCUGAGAACUCUAACGAGACUGCCUUCGUAAGGAGGAGGAAGGUGAGGACGACGUCAAGUCAUCAUGGCCCUUACGGCCAGGGCUACACACGUGCUACAAUGGGGUGUACAGAAAGCUGCAAUAUCGCGAGAUGGAGCAAAUCUCAAAAACACCUCCCAGUUCGGAUUGUUCUCUGCAACUCGAGAACAUGAAGUUGGAAUCGCUAGUAAUCGUAGAUCAGCAUUGCUACGGUGAAUACGUUCCCGGGCCUU
Molecule: ribosomal RNA, 393 nt
Filed under: uncultured Arcobacter sp.
Lineage: Bacteria; Pseudomonadati; Campylobacterota; Epsilonproteobacteria; Campylobacterales; Arcobacteraceae
Description: bacterial SSU rRNA
Rfam family: Bacterial small subunit ribosomal RNA
Source: RNAcentral